GAUGAAGAACGCAGUGAAAUGCGAUAAGUAAUGUGAAUUGCAGAAUUCAGUGAAUCAUCGAAUCUUUGAACGCACAUUGCGCCCGCCAGUAUUCUGGCGGGCAUGCCUGUCCGAGCGUCAUUUCAACCCUCGAACCCCUCCGGGGGUACGGCGUUGGGGAUCGGCCCUUUACGGGGCCGGCCCCGAAAUACAGUGGCGGUCUCGCCGCAGCCUCUCCUGCGCAGUAGUUUGCACACUCGCAUCGGGAGCGCGGCGCGUCCACGUCCGUAAAACACCCAACUUCUGAAAUGUUGACCUCGGAUCAGGUAGGAAUACCCGCUGAACUUAAGCAUAUCAAUAAGCGGAGGA
Molecule: unclassified non-coding RNA, 348 nt
Filed under: soil metagenome
Description: partial contains 5.8S ribosomal RNA, internal transcribed spacer 2, and large subunit ribosomal RNA
Rfam family: 5.8S ribosomal RNA (bases 1-120)
Source: RNAcentral